Molecule: ribosomal RNA, 1165 nt
Filed under: Aphis gossypii (cotton aphid)
Lineage: Eukaryota; Metazoa; Arthropoda; Insecta; Hemiptera; Aphididae
Description: SSU rRNA
Rfam family: Eukaryotic small subunit ribosomal RNA
Source: RNAcentral
GCAUCUUUCAAAUGUCUGCCUUAUCAACUGUCGAUGGUAGGUUCUAUGCCUACCAUGGUUGUAACGGGUAACGGGGAAUCAGGGUUCGAUUCCGGAGAGGGAGCCUGAGAAACGGCUACCACAUCCAAGGAAGGCAGCAGGCGCGCAAAUUACCCACUCCCGGCACGGGGAGGUAGUGACGAAAAAUAACGAUACGGGACUCAUCCGAGGCCCCGUAAUCGGAAUGAGUACACUUUAAAGCCUUUAACGAGGAUCAAUUGGAGGGCAAGUCUGGUGCCAGCAGCCGCGGUAAUUCCAGCUCCAAUAGCGUAUAUUAAAGUUGUUGCGGUUAAAAAGCUCGUAGUUGAAUUUGUGUCACAUCCUGUUGGUUCACCACUCGUGGUGUUUAACUGACAUGUUGAUGGGACGUCCUACCGGUGGAUUUAGCUUUUUUUAUAUUUUCUUUUUAUUUGUUAUUUUCUUUCGGGUUAAUAUCAAUUUAAAGUAAAAUAUAUUUAAAGCGAUCCAACUAAUAUCCCGUCGCGGUGCUCUUUAUUGAGUGUCGAGGUGGGCCGGUACGUUUACUUUGAACAAAUUAGAGUGCUUAAAGCAGGCUUUUUUUGCCUGAAUACUGUGUGCAUGGAAUAAUAGAAUAGGACCUCGGUUCUAUUUUGUUGGUUUUCGGAACCCCGAGGUAAUGAUUAAUAGGGACAGAUGGGGGCAUUCGUAUUGCGACGUUAGAGGUGAAAUUCUUGGAUCGUCGCAAGACGAACAGAAGCGAAAGCAUUUGCCAAAAAUGUUUUCAUUAAUCAAGAACGAAAGUUAGAGGUUCGAAGGCGAUCAGAUACCGCCCUAGUUCUAACCAUAAACGAUGCCAGCUAGCGAUCCGCCGAAGUUCCUCCGAUGACUCGGCGGGCAGCUUCCGGGAAACCAAAGCUUUUGGGUUCCGGGGGAAGUAUGGUUGCAAAGCUGAAACUUAAAGGAAUUGACGGAAGGGCACCACCAGGAGUGGAGCCUGCGGCUUAAUUUGACUCAACACGGGAAAUCUCACCAGGCCCGGACACCGGAAGGAUUGACAGAUUGAUAGCUCUUUCUUGAUUCGGUGGGUGGUGGUGCAUGGCCGUUCUUAGUUGGUGGAGCGAUUUGUCUGGUUAAUUCCGAUAACGAACGAGACUCUGUCCUGCUA